GGUUAAGCGACUAAGCGUACACGGUGGAUGCCCUGGCAGUCAGAGGCGAUGAAGGACGUGCUAAUCUGCGAUAAGCGUCGGUAAGGUGAUAUGAACCGUUAUAACCGGCGAUUUCCGAAUGGGGAAACCCAGUGUGAUUCGUCACACUAUCAUUAACUGAAUCCAUAGGUUAAUGAGGCGAACCGGGGGAACUGAAACAUCUAAGUACCCCGAGGAAAAGAAAUCAACCGAGAUUCCCCCAGUAGCGGCGAGCGAACGGGGAGCAGCCCAGAGCCUGAAUCAGUGUGUGUGUUAGUGGAAGCGUCUGGAAAGGCGCGCGAUACAGGGUGACAGCCCCGUACACAAAAAUGCACAUGCUGUGAGCUCGAUGAGUAGGGCGGGACACGUGGUAUCCUGUCUGAAUAUGGGGGGACCAUCCUCCAAGGCUAAAUACUCCUGACUGACCGAUAGUGAACCAGUACCGUGAGGGAAAGGCGAAAAGAACCCCGGCGAGGGGAGUGAAAAAGAACCUGAAACCGUGUACGUACAAGCAGUGGGAGCCUCUUAAUGGGGUGACUGCGUACCUUUUGUAUAAUGGGUCAGCGACUUAUAUUCUGUAGCAAGGUUAACCGAAUAGGGGAGCCGAAGGGAAACCGAGUCUUAACUGGGCGUUAAGUUGCAGGGUAUAGACCCGAAACCCGGUGAUCUAGCCAUGGGCAGGUUGAAGGUUGGGUAACACUAACUGGAGGACCGAACCGACUAAUGUUGAAAAAUUAGCGGAUGACUUGUGGCUGGGGGUGAAAGGCCAAUCAAACCGGGAGAUAGCUGGUUCUCCCCGAAAGCUAUUUAGGUAGCGCCUCGUGAAUUCAUCUCCGGGGGUAGAGCACUGUUUCGGCAAGGGGGUCAUCCCGACUUACCAACCCGAUGCAAACUGCGAAUACCGGAGAAUGUUAUCACGGGAGACACACGGCGGGUGCUAACGUCCGUCGUGAAGAGGGAAACAACCCAGACCGCCAGCUAAGGUCCCAAAGUCAUGGUUAAGUGGGAAACGAUGUGGGAAGGCCCAGACAGCCAGGAUGUUGGCUUAGAAGCAGCCAUCAUUUAAAGAAAGCGUAAUAGCUCACUGGUCGAGUCGGCCUGCGCGGAAGAUGUAACGGGGCUAAACCAUGCACCGAAGCUGCGGCAGCGACGCUUAUGCGUUGUUGGGUAGGGGAGCGUUCUGUAAGCCUGCGAAGGUGUGCUGUGAGGCAUGCUGGAGGUAUCAGAAGUGCGAAUGCUGACAUAAGUAACGAUAAAGCGGGUGAAAAGCCCGCUCGCCGGAAGACCAAGGGUUCCUGUCCAACGUUAAUCGGGGCAGGGUGAGUCGACCCCUAAGGCGAGGCCGAAAGGCGUAGUCGAUGGGAAACAGGUUAAUAUUCCUGUACUUGGUGUUACUGCGAAGGGGGGACGGAGAAGGCUAUGUUGGCCGGGCGACGGUUGUCCCGGUUUAAGCGUGUAGGCUGGUUUUCCAGGCAAAUCCGGAAAAUCAAGGCUGAGGCGUGAUGACGAGGCACUACGGUGCUGAAGCAACAAAUGCCCUGCUUCCAGGAAAAGCCUCUAAGCAUCAGGUAACAUCAAAUCGUACCCCAAACCGACACAGGUGGUCAGGUAGAGAAUACCAAGGCGCUUGAGAGAACUCGGGUGAAGGAACUAGGCAAAAUGGUGCCGUAACUUCGGGAGAAGGCACGCUGAUAUGUAGGUGAAGUCCCUUGCGGAUGGAGCUGAAAUCAGUCGAAGAUACCAGCUGGCUGCAACUGUUUAUUAAAAACACAGCACUGUGCAAACACGAAAGUGGACGUAUACGGUGUGACGCCUGCCCGGUGCCGGAAGGUUAAUUGAUGGGGUUAGCGGUAACGCGAAGCUCUUGAUCGAAGCCCCGGUAAACGGCGGCCGUAACUAUAACGGUCCUAAGGUAGCGAAAUUCCUUGUCGGGUAAGUUCCGACCUGCACGAAUGGCGUAAUGAUGGCCAGGCUGUCUCCACCCGAGACUCAGUGAAAUUGAACUCGCUGUGAAGAUGCAGUGUACCCGCGGCAAGACGGAAAGACCCCGUGAACCUUUACUAUAGCUUGACACUGAACAUUGAGCCUUGAUGUGUAGGAUAGGUGGGAGGCUUUGAAGUGUGGACGCCAGUCUGCAUGGAGCCGACCUUGAAAUACCACCCUUUAAUGUUUGAUGUUCUAACGUUGGCCCCUAAUCGGGGUUGCGGACAGUGUCUGGUGGGUAGUUUGACUGGGGCGGUCUCCUCCUAAAGAGUAACGGAGGAGCACGAAGGUUGGCUAAUCCUGGUCGGACAUCAGGAGGUUAGUGCAAUGGCAUAAGCCAGCUUGACUGCGAGCGUGACGGCGCGAGCAGGUGCGAAAGCAGGUCAUAGUGAUCCGGUGGUUCUGAAUGGAAGGGCCAUCGCUCAACGGAUAAAAGGUACUCCGGGGAUAACAGGCUGAUACCGCCCAAGAGUUCAUAUCGACGGCGGUGUUUGGCACCUCGAUGUCGGCUCAUCACAUCCUGGGGCUGAAGUAGGUCCCAAGGGUAUGGCUGUUCGCCAUUUAAAGUGGUACGCGAGCUGGGUUUAGAACGUCGUGAGACAGUUCGGUCCCUAUCUGCCGUGGGCGCUGGAGAACUGAGGGGGGCUGCUCCUAGUACGAGAGGACCGGAGUGGACGCAUCACUGGUGUUCGGGUUGUCAUGCCAAUGGCACUGCCCGGUAGCUAAAUGCGGAAGAGAUAAGUGCUGAAAGCAUCUAAGCACGAAACUUGCCCCGAGAUGAGUUCUCCCUGACUCCCUGAGAGUCCUGAAGGAACGUUGAAGACGACGACGUUGAUAGGCCGGGUGUGUAAGCGCAGCGAUGCGUUGAGCUAACCGGUACUAAUGAACCGUGAGGCUUAACCUU
RNAcentral lists this ribosomal RNA (2905 nucleotides) under Escherichia coli. RNAcentral's name for it is "23S ribosomal RNA". It matches the Rfam family "Bacterial large subunit ribosomal RNA". Lineage: Bacteria; Pseudomonadati; Pseudomonadota; Gammaproteobacteria; Enterobacterales; Enterobacteriaceae. The record is from RNAcentral.